GACUCUCGGCAACGGAUAUCUCGGCUCUUGCAUCGAUGAAGAACGUAGCGAAAUGCGAUACUUGGUGUGAAUUGCAGAAUCCCGUGAACCAUCGAGUCUUUGAACGCAAGUUGCGCCCGAGGCCAUUUAGGUUGAGGGCACGUCU
This 145-nucleotide ribosomal RNA is filed under the name Actaea asiatica. Its description in RNAcentral is "5.8S ribosomal RNA". It matches the Rfam family "5.8S ribosomal RNA". Rfam says of the family: 5.8S ribosomal RNA (5.8S rRNA) is a component of the large subunit of the eukaryotic ribosome. It is transcribed by RNA polymerase I as part of the 45S precursor that also contains 18S and 28S rRNA. Functionally, it is thought that 5.8S rRNA may be involved in ribosome translocation. The record is from RNAcentral. Lineage: Eukaryota; Viridiplantae; Streptophyta; Magnoliopsida; Ranunculales; Ranunculaceae. RNAcentral also lists the same sequence under 11 other names.